AAGCCAGACCAGAAAGGGCCCCGUGCGCAACGUGCUUCACAAUCUCUCAGGAGGAAGACAAACAUAAAGAUGAAGUGCUUAAUUCAAGGUCACACAAUGUCGGGGAUGGACCUCCAGAUUUCCUUACUGACCUGCAUUAUCUUGUGGAUACCUGAGUGAAUUCCACACCACCCAUUUUAUAGAUGAAACCACUGAGACAUGGAGCAAUUGACUGAGUAGUCACUGCCCCACCCCUGCCUGGAGCCUCACACAUGACUCGCCUCCUCUCAGUGACCACAGGUUGGUUGAGGGGUUUAACAAGGCUAAGAAGGAAAACAAGCUCAGGGCUCCCACUGAUUGUACAUUAUGGUGAGACGUGGUCUUGUAACACAGUGGUUAAGAAUGUGACUUUGGAGCCAGCCUGCUAGGGGCUGAAUUCUGACUCAGCCAUUUACUAACUGUGUGACCUUAGGGAGGAGGACCUGGUUGAUAGAAGAAUUUAUCUCGUAGUCUUAACAUCCACUGUAAUUCCAAACUUUGAGGACGAUAGAGAUCAGUGGGCUUUGACUGCCCAGCAUGCAGUCUCCAUU
This is a long non-coding RNA of Homo sapiens (human), 569 nucleotides long. Ensembl annotates it as PCBP1 antisense RNA 1. Its record names the gene PCBP1-AS1. The record is from Ensembl. Lineage: Eukaryota; Metazoa; Chordata; Mammalia; Primates; Hominidae.